Molecule: long non-coding RNA, 356 nt
Filed under: Ananas comosus (pineapple)
Lineage: Eukaryota; Viridiplantae; Streptophyta; Magnoliopsida; Poales; Bromeliaceae
Description: long non-coding RNA (ACOM_LNC000685)
Source: RNAcentral
AAGAAAGGAAAACUAAACAUUUACAAGUACUAUGAUUCAUUUUUGAUCAUAUACAUUGCAUUCAUCUUGUACAUUUUCGAAUUCCUUACAUUUCAUUUCAUCAUUUCUUUCUUACAUCACAUUUACUUCAAAAUACACAUUACAUUCUUUUCUUUACAUCAUUUAUCAUCAGGUACAAAAGAUGAUCAUAGGGUACUUUACCACAAAAUAAAACCCAACUUUGGUGGCCUCUGACUAAGGCGCGAUACCUUUACCUCGGUCGCUCGCCGGCUCGCUCGGUCCCGGCUCUGUGGAAAUAGUGGGGUGAGAACUACAACAAAGUUCCCAGUGGGUUCGGUCUCAACAUCACCGACUUU